This is a long non-coding RNA of Cervus elaphus (red deer), 458 nucleotides long. RefSeq lists it as uncharacterized. The transcript has 4 exons. Lineage: Eukaryota; Metazoa; Chordata; Mammalia; Artiodactyla; Cervidae. The record is from RefSeq and is a predicted model, not a curated record.
GCGGUCGUCCUCACGUGCUGUCGGCACAGGCUUCACGGCCUUUCGCUCUUCAUUUCGUACCAGCCAGCAUGUGCUUUUCACAUCCACUAAAACCAUUUCUUCCACUGUCACAAAGGAACUCUGUGUUGGCCGCUCCACAGGCAGAUUCUUUACCACUGAGCCUCCAAGGAAGCGCAUCAUCAACUGAGUCAUCUCAAACAAAACCAUCCAGGCUCCAACAGGCAGUGGUUGUAAAGUGGUUUUAGUCUGGUUCCAGUCGUUUUAGGAGAAGGUAUUUUGGAUCUGUGGAAGAUAUAGAAGCUAAAUGGUCUCACGGCAACACAUCUGUGGUCGGAUACUCCUGCCCACUCUCAGCUGGUGUUCUGCAAGCACUUCUCUGUUUCUGAAGAUGUAUUCUGAUAUAUCCAGGGAGAGAGAUGUACUCCAUGUCCACCUACUCCUUCGCCAUCUUGUUCCUG